Molecule: ribosomal RNA, 549 nt
Filed under: uncultured bacterium
Lineage: Bacteria
Description: bacterial SSU rRNA
Rfam family: Bacterial small subunit ribosomal RNA
Source: RNAcentral
UAGGGAAUCUUCGGCAAUGGACGGAAGUCUGACCGAGCAACGCCGCGUGAGUGAAGAAGGUUUUCGGAUCGUAAAGCUCUGUUGUAAGAGAAGAACGAGUGUGAGAGUGGAAAGUUCACACUGUGACGGUAUCUUACCAGAAAGGGACGGCUAACUACGUGCCAGCAGCCGCGGUAAUACGUAGGUCCCGAGCGUUGUCCGGAUUUAUUGGGGUUAAAGCGAGCGCAGGCGGUUAGAUAAGUCUGAAGUUAAAGGCUGUGGCUUAACCAUAGUACGCUUUGGAAACUGUUUAACUUGAGUGCAAGAGGGGAGAGUGGAAUUCCAUGUGUAGCGGUGAAAUGCGUAGAUAUAUGGAGGAACACCGGUGGCGAAAGCGGCUCUCUGGCUUGUAACUGACGCUGAGGCUCGAAAGCGUGGGGAGCAAACAAGAUUAGAUACCCUGGUAGUCCACGCCGUAAACGAUGAGUGCUAGGUGUUAGACCCUUUCCGGGGUUUAGUGCCGUAGCUAACGCAUUAAGCACUCCGCCUGGGGAGUACGACCGCAAGGUU